AAGCGAGACAACAAUUGUGUUGGAGAAAAGAGAGACAAGGAGAGAAAAGAGGAGUUCAACAUCUUUGUGAAUGAAAAGCUAGAGAAUUGAAGACAUAGAAGUGGAAAUCAAGAAAUUGACUUAAGAUUUACGCAGAACCGCACGUGCAGCUGUGAUCCCCGCAUGUGUGAAACACAGGACAAAACAGAGGCUCACACUCUGCUUUAAUUACACGUGCGGUCCACAUGUACAUCACAUUCCACACGUGCGGUCGCUGGCAUGAGGAAUCAUCACAAGGCCAAAAUCCCUGUGAGUAAUAAGUUUGUAUACAUAUGUUCUUCAUUGUCAGUUUGAAAACCAUAUGAAAGUGCAUAUAUAGAUUUCUGAGAUUGCCUUAUGUUUUGAUAUUAAUGAUUUUCGGUGAACGCUUUACGAAUGAAAUGUAAUGUUUUAUGAAUGGUACAUGAAUGAAUGAUGAAUAAAUGAUAUGUGGACCCAAGGUCAUUCUAUUUACGAUCUGAUGUACUAUGUGGGCCUGAAGCCGUUCUGUACUAUAUGGGCCCAAGGCCGUUUUGUUAUAUAUGGGCCCAAGGUUGUUUUGUUAUAUGUCAGCCCGAGGUCAUUUUGUUAUAUGUGGACCCGAGGUUGUUUUGUAUGUUUGGCCGAGGUUGUUUUGUAU
Molecule: long non-coding RNA, 658 nt
Organism: Camellia sinensis
Lineage: Eukaryota; Viridiplantae; Streptophyta; Magnoliopsida; Ericales; Theaceae
Source: RefSeq, a predicted model, not a curated record